AAAAAAUUAUUUAAUUAUUGGUUUCGGCCCCCCAGUUGUCUGAGGGACAGCAAUCCGGCCCCCGGCUCAAAAAGCUUGCCUACCCCUGGACUAAAGCAAUGUUAGACCUGCUUUUGGUAACUGAGGAACUGAACUACAGCUGGCCCUCCACAUUUGUGGCUUUGAUUUUGGUGGAUUUGAUUAAUAUGUUCUUUCUAGGAAUCUCUAGGUCCUCCAGUGCAACUCUGUGGUCAAAAAGUUGUGCAAGACGUUGUCCUGGAAGAUCUAGAAAUUCCUAGAGAGAAUGCUUCCCUAUGCAUUUGUAGGUCCUCCAUCACAAGUCUAUGGUCAACAUCUAGCAGACGUUGACCACAGAGUUGCAUUGGAGGACCUAGUCACAGAGAUGCCUGGAGAAAUUCUCUCUGGUAAAAAAAAAAAUGGUUUUUUUAUUUGCUUUAACUGCUAUGGCUAUCUCCUGUGGAAUCCUGGGAUUUGCAUUUUAUGGAAGAGGAUUCAGAAUUUUCAGCCAGAGAGCUUUUAGGCCUCACUAAACUAUAAACCCCAGAAUUCCACAGGAAGCAUCCAUAGCUGCUAAAGUGGAAUAAUAACACUAUUACAGUGUAGUGUGAUAGUGACCUAAAUUUGGAUUUAGCCCAAUAUUUUUUUUAAUGUCCAAUCUACACAACAUUUAGAAGUAACCAUUUAAAGCUGGGGUAUGAAAGCCAGUGUGAUAUAGUGGUUUGAGCAUUAGACAAUGAAUCUGGAGACCAGGGUUCAAAUCCCCACUCAGUAAUAGAAACUCACUGGAUGAUCUUGGGCAAGAUUCACUCUCUGUUUCAUUAAAAUCAAGCCCUCUCUGAAAAAAUCUUGUCAAGAAAAUCCUGUGCUCUAAGUCGGAAAGGAAUUCAAGGCACACAGUAACAACUAUUCAUUGAAAUAUAUAUGUGAAGAUAUGCAACUCAUUUUUGUUUAAAAGAGAAAGGGAGAUGGAGAAAUUCUACUGGUACCUUUAAAACUAAAUGCUUUGUUUUAACAUGAGCUAUUGUGGAUUUAAAUUCAAUUCUUCUGAUGCUGGAUGGAAUGUGAACUUUAAGCCACUGGUAUUUAAGCACAAUUACAUGCAGAUCUAUGAAGCAUCUGUCCUGUUUGUAUUACUCUGACACCUCAAGACAUUUUCUGCUCACCCAAAAAGUUACUGGUAUCAUUGAGGAGGAGAAAUAUUUUAUUGUAUAUAAGAUAUUAAGAUCUGUGCUAAGCCACUUAACCAUUAUUCCUGUUCAUACCUCUACUAACAGACCGGCCUGUACCAUCUCAAACAACCCUUCUGUCAACAAAGUAAGACAUUUAUUCAGACAGGCUUUUAAAUCAGAAAGUCUUUAAAGAACGGACAGGGGAUGUUGCACUAUGUUAAUUGUAUUGUACUGUCUUAUCUUUUUAACUGCAUUUUAUUAUUUUGGUGAGUAUUGUGUUUUAAUGCUAAUUUAAUGCUUAAUUUUAUUUUAAUGUUCACUUUUGUAUGUUUUUGAUUGUAUUCUUUUAAAACAUAAGCCACUUUGAGUUCCAAGUUUUUUUUUUGGGGGGGGGCAGUAUAUAAAUAAAUAUAAUAAGAAUAACCAUUUGAAGGCUUAUGGACAGUGUCACAAUUUGCAUCUUUCUUUAAGCCGUUACACUCUGAUUCUUCUGCACAACAAUGUAAUUGUGUUUUAACAUUAUGGCUUGGACAUUGCAUUCCAUGAAUUGCAUUCCCUGAAAACAUCUGAAGAAAUGGAUCUAAAUAAACAAAAGUUCAUGCAAAAAUUAAUCAAUAUUAAAGGUAACAAAAGAAAAACUUUGAAGAAAUAUUAACCUAGUGUCCCAUAUAAUUUGGCAGUUACAAUAUGCUUCUUCUUUAGAACAAGCUCAUGUUUUUUAUAUUUGUUACUAUUUCCCAACCAGUCCUAUUCAAAACAUAAAUAUGGUAAACAUUUUUCCAAGGACCAGAAAGCAUUCUCUACUUCAAAGGAAACAAGGGCCUGGAUCCUACUGGUAGUACAAACUAGAGUAGAUCCAUUGAAUCAAAUGGUAAAUGGUAAACCAACACUUAUGUAAAUCCUACUGAAUCAACUGUCUAAUUUAAUCAGGUCAAAGUUUAGUAAAUGAGCUUUUUAAAAUGCAUACACAAACUUCAGGUCAUCAUUUGUUUGGUCUGGUAUGUUUUACUUGUGUUUGAUGCUCACUUUUUGGCAGACUUUAUAUUCUUUUAAAUCUACACAUGGCUUGGCCACCCUCCCCCAUUGGAAACAUUUAGGGGACAGAAGAUCUCCAGCCUGUUCUGACUUGUAACUAGUGGCAGUGGCAUCAUGGGGUGUGUGGGGGGCGUGGACCCGGAGGAGGAGUGACACCUGGUUGGGCCCUUUGAGGCAGGAGGGGCGUAUGUGCCCUUGCUGGCUGCUCUGGCCCUGAGCUUCUUCCCAGGGAGAAAGCCUGGGCCAGAGGAAUGUGCCCUUUUGGCUGCUGCCACACCCCUGAUGGGUGACACCUAGCAUAGGUGAGAUCACUGAAUCAAUUAAUUAUAAGUAGGUGUAAUACAGCUAGCUAUUUUUGAAACUAAUCAUCAUGGUCCAAUACAUGCUUGGAGAGUAUUAUUCAAAACAAUUGUGUGAAAAUACAUCAACUGCAGCAUAUUUCCUAACUACGCAUGUUUGAACUGCAGUGUUUGUUGAAAACUUUUAUUGCUGUUGUAAGUUACUUUAUUAUGGAAAUGGCACUAGUAGUUUAAAUAUUAUCACAAACACAAGCUAUAUAAAUGCUGAACAACUUACCAUAAAACUUCCUAUUUGUCCCUAGAAAGCACGCUAUGUGUCUGAGCAUACAGUAGACAAAAUACUAAAAGUAGCAUUGUGCUGUCACAAUCUCACCUUUAAAAAUUGAGAGAAAUAACUGUUCUUCAUACGGUUAGCAAAGCAGGAACCAUUUUCUCUUAGACUACAAGUUUAAUUAUUUAAAGUGGAUUUGCAGCUGGUGUGUUUCAAAUUCAACCUUAAAUUGGAUUAUUAAUAGAUCAGUAUGCAAUCAUUUAUCUGAUAUUGUGGCAUAUAUUCAAUUUAAAGUUAGACAUUCUUGAGUCCAUUAAUUUUAAGGGUUUCAGUAUGCAUAACUCAAUGUUUUGGAUUUAGGCUGAUAUAUUUUGGAGACAUACUGAAACAUAUUGGUAAAAUUGCUAUAGAAUUGCUAUAGCACUUUCUACUGUCUCUCUUGUGAUCUCUCUGUCUGUAUCAUUGUUGUUUUAUGCCUUCAAGUCAUUUCCAACUUAUGGUGAACCUAAGGUGACCCUAUCACGGAGUUGUCUUGGCAAGAUUUGUUCAGAGGGAGUUUGACUUCUUCUGAGGCUGAAAGAGUGCAACUUGCACAAACAAGUGGGUUUCCAUGGCUGAGUAGGGAUUUGAACCCUGGUAUCCUAGCCCAAAACUUAAACCACAACACCAUGAUGGUAUAUCGACUUUGACCAUCAGGUUACACAGGAUUCUUCUCCUGUCUUCUCCUAAAUAGUUUGAGGCUUUUCUUCUCUCAGAACUAUUUCUCUAACCCUUGAUCUUCCCAUUUUCUUCACUAUUAUGUGUUUCUAAUAUUCUUGGUAGCAUGUUUUUGAUGUUGUUAAUUAUAAAUGACUUCCAGCCACUCCCUUGUGAACAAGAAGAAAAUAGCUUUUCUUUACAGAAAGAGCUUAUGAUGGUAUCUCUUUUGGUAGUUGGUUUUCAGAGCUUGUGGUUACAAUGUGUAUAUCACUUCACUUGUUACUAAUGUGACUUUGUUCCCAUUCACUCAGUGACUUCAGUUACACUUCAACGGUGUUUUAUUUCUGUACACACAUCUUCCACUAAAGCUCAUUCAUUAAGAGUAUAAAUUCUAUGAAACUAUCUUUAUUCAUAAGUUACACUUCCACAGAAUAAGGUGGAUAUGAGUCUUCCUUUUAUUGCCUCUCUACUGCUCAAAGAACGUAACAGUUUAAACUGAUUUCACAGGGCUUCUUCUGCACUUCUAAAAUCUUUCCUCCUUGUAUGGGAAUCUGAAUCGCAUUAACGCUGAGCCCUUAUUUCCAACUCUAUUCCUGUCAGUUCCAGCUGCACUCCUGACAAUUCUGUGACACACUCCUUGUGUCCCUGGACUUUCUUUGUCCUUUUACAAUGUCAUUCCUUAAAUGGGAGUCUGAGGGGUGAAACAGACCGUCCCUUUGCGCUGGCUUGGGGGUGGUGUUAAAGUGUGGCAUUUAGAGGCCGCAUGUGCUGACGCAGCCCUGAAGUCAGUGUCAUGCUGCACACCCAACCACAUGGGGGGACGGUUUUACGGUGCUCUGAUGGCGCAGUGUUUACACCCUGCAGGAGUGCUGCCAAGCUGGCACAGAACUAAAAAAGGCAGCUUUUUGCUGGCUCAAAAAGGAGCGGCAAUUUGCUGCUUUUUGUGCGGGCAAAAAGCCGGGUUGGGACUGUUGCAUGUGGUUGCCAUAGCCCCAACCCAGUGUACAAAGAGGUGGCAUCAAGCUGCAGUGCCAUCUGUUUCAGUCCUGAAUCCCAUUAAGGAUCAUCUCUUCUAUACUAACUGCACUAUUGGCAGUUUCUGACACACUCCUCCUUCUUAACAGCUGCUUCUCCUUUUUAUAGCCACUCAUCAGACAGGCCCAUAUCUUUUCCCCAGCCUUACUCUGAUUGGCUGUUCUGAACUUUCCAUUCUGCCGGUGUUUCUCCACAUCAAUGCACACAUAAUCCUAGUUGAGUUGAUUUUUUAAAAUAGACAUAUAUACUUUGGUUGUUAUCUUAUUAUAAUUCUGUCUUGUGAUGGUUUUUAAAUCUAAGCCAGGGUUGGGAAUUAUGUGGCCCUCCAGGUAUCAUUGCACUACAACUCUCAACAGCUCUACCCAGAAUAGCCAAUGCUGAGGAAUGCAGGGAGCUGCAGCUGAACAGCAUCUGGAGGACCACAGAACCCCAAUCCCUGCUAUAAGAAGAAUCCUAUCAUGAGUACUUUGUACAGUAGAGAGGAAAACAUUUGAUGAUGAUGGUACCACUACUGUUAUUACUAUUACCUAUAUAUAUCCAGUAGUGAUUCCAUAUGCUGGAGAUGCUCAGUCUUGGCAAAUGAGAUGAAUGAAGUUUUUUUUU
Sceloporus undulatus (fence lizard) is the source of this 5111-nucleotide long non-coding RNA. RefSeq lists it as uncharacterized. The record is from RefSeq and is a predicted model, not a curated record. NCBI's taxonomy places the organism in Eukaryota, Metazoa, Chordata, Lepidosauria, Squamata, Phrynosomatidae. The transcript has 2 exons.